AAUAUACGUAGUUAUGGGUUUCAGUGCUUAACUCUGAUCAUCUGUUUUAUUUGAAAUAUUUUUAUAAUUAGUAUUUUUAUUGUUAUUAAAUGAUAAAAUAUGAAUAUUACUUAAUGCGUGACUUAACUUUUAAAAUUUUUUUAUAAAAUAUUCAAAUAAGACGGACAGUUAAACGUUGGACACGGAAAAUUAUGGCUACACUUAUA
Molecule: non-coding RNA, 206 nt
Organism: Oryza glaberrima (African rice)
Lineage: Eukaryota; Viridiplantae; Streptophyta; Magnoliopsida; Poales; Poaceae
Source: Rfam